Long non-coding RNA from Raphanus sativus (radish), 1341 nucleotides. RefSeq lists it as uncharacterized. The record is from RefSeq and is a predicted model, not a curated record. Lineage: Eukaryota; Viridiplantae; Streptophyta; Magnoliopsida; Brassicales; Brassicaceae. The transcript has 6 exons.
GCAAACCUCCACGUCGAGCCUUCCUUUCUUCUGAUGGGCUUGAACCGAAAUUGUAGUUUGGGCUUCAACGUCGCGUUGGUUGUAACAGCCCGUUAGCCCAAACCAUGCUCACUUCACUUUUCUUGCGUAAACCCUAAGCGCCGCGUCCGAUUGUCGAUUCGAGUCCUGUUCAUCUUCCUCUUCCUUCCGUUUGAGAGCCAAUCGUCUGUGAAAUCAAUUUCUCCCCACCUCUUCGCACUCUUUAAUCCUCCAUUAACCCCAUUAAUGGGGUCCGUUGGCUGCCUCCUUCGGAUCUUCUAUAAACCCUCCACUUCACGAAAUUGUAUUUACAUCCAAAUUGAUUUUCCUCUCUCCAAUUUCAAUCGCGAUGAAGACUACCGGUUCAAGCGACUCUGUGAAUUCGAAAAGCGAAGCGGCGGCCCUCUCCGCUCCGGCCAUAAAAGAGAUCUAGAUAAGUUUUGCAAAGCUGUCAUUUUUUAAAUUGAGCAGUGAAUCUGGCAGUGUUGUAAUCUUCUUACUCUGAUUCUAUUGAAAACCAUUUCAUAUACAGAUGCUCUUCGCACCAACAAGAGAGAAUUGGUUGUGGCUACACGAGUGGAGAACACUGGAGUAAGAAAAUGAGAGAACGAGAUGGAGAGCAACAGAGUUAAGUGACGGAGAGAUUGAGAUGAAGAGAACUGGAGAAGUCGAGAUAUAGAGACACAGAGCAAAUGAUAGAUAGUACGAGAUGAAAGAAACAGAAACUACAGCAAAAUAUGAAACGAGUACUGAGAGAGCGAAUGAGCGACGGAACAAACGAAGUGGUCUUGCUUGAUGUUAUUUGAUCUCCAUAUAUUGGUUGUCAUUUACGAUUCUUAAAGAUUAACUUGGAAUAUAAAGCUAAUGAGAACAGGUUUAACUACUGUAUUUUUAUAUACGCACUGAAAAUGGACGAAGAAGCGUGAAUGGAAGAUUCUGGGAAUGUCUGAAACCAUGUUUCUAAUUGCUACAAUCAUGGACAAUAAAGCUCAAGGAACUCAGUAACCAAUCCAAACAACGCCUGAUCGUGUGAGAAUAAGAGGAGAUCAAGGAGCCGUGUUUUUGGUCAUUUUCUCUUAGUCACAGAUAUGCAACAACCAAGAGCUAUAGUCACAACCAUACACUACAAAAUCCUUCAUACAACAAAUUCUAUUGAGAGUAAAUUUGUACAGGUUCAUACAACAUAUUGUUACUGUUGUUGCAACAAUAUACAUUGAGAGUAAAUUUAAGGAACUUUCAGCCUUUUUAUUAGCCACUAAGAGAUGUGUAAGUUAAUUUUUUUUUGAGCAAAGUGUAACUUAAUUUUUAAAAAACAUUUCUCCA